CUUUUUGUCUUUUUUUGAAACAGGAUCUCACUAUGCAGUUCAGGCUGGCCUUGAGCUCACUUUGUAGCCCAGGUUGGUCUUGAACUUGCAACAAUCCUCCUGCCUCAGCCUCCCAAGUGCUGGGAUUACAGCUGUGUGCCACCAUACCAGGCCCUAUACGUAUUUUCAAAGUCAGACGCUAAUGUAACAGACGGAGACAAGACAAAAUGGACAGCUGAAACACGACAUCCUCCUCUUCUACCGGGCUUUCCUGUUUAUUGGGGUUAA
RNAcentral lists this long non-coding RNA (267 nucleotides) under Chinchilla lanigera (long-tailed chinchilla). RNAcentral's name for it is "lncRNA (ENSCLAG00000026979.1)". The record is from RNAcentral. Lineage: Eukaryota; Metazoa; Chordata; Mammalia; Rodentia; Chinchillidae.